UUUUGCUGAUUGCUAAAGGUCUUGAU
Molecule: non-coding RNA, 26 nt
Filed under: Mus musculus (house mouse)
Lineage: Eukaryota; Metazoa; Chordata; Mammalia; Rodentia; Muridae
Also listed under: 1 other name
Source: RNAcentral